UUAUUCGUAUUGUUUCUACAGAUCCUGUUUCUUCUCUUAUUUGAGAAGUGGAAGCCCUAGCUGAUUCGUUAGGGACCGAAUAGUACUCACUAGGAGUAGAGUGAGUGGAGUACCUAGAGGAUGUGGUCCUAGGAAGUCUUAAUGUUCUUUGAGAACUAAAUCUUACUUCGACAUCUCCUUCUGAUGUCUCAACAAUUUGAUCUAUUUCUUGAUUUAUUAUCGGC
This 224-nucleotide long non-coding RNA is filed under the name Daucus carota (carrot). RNAcentral describes it as "long non-coding RNA (DCAR_LNC000520)". The record is from RNAcentral. Lineage: Eukaryota; Viridiplantae; Streptophyta; Magnoliopsida; Apiales; Apiaceae.